Molecule: unclassified non-coding RNA, 22 nt
Filed under: Chlamydomonas reinhardtii
Lineage: Eukaryota; Viridiplantae; Chlorophyta; Chlorophyceae; Chlamydomonadales; Chlamydomonadaceae
Description: small RNA Cre_2077
Source: RNAcentral
GUGUGUGUGUUAAAAGAGCACA